Pocillopora verrucosa is the source of this 554-nucleotide non-coding RNA. Lineage: Eukaryota; Metazoa; Cnidaria; Anthozoa; Scleractinia; Pocilloporidae. The record is from RefSeq and is a predicted model, not a curated record.
UUUUAGCCCUUUUUAUCAGAAUGUUGUUGGGAAAUUGUGUUGAUCAGUGUCAUACUGGAAGCACAAAACCUGCAAUUGAGGGUAUGUCAAGACAUCUUGCUGUUGAAUGGGGCCCAGAUGGCAUUAGGGUAAACUGUGUUGCACCAGGUGCUGUGAAGGACACAGAGGGUUUUCGUAGACUAGUCUGAAGGAAGCUUCAACUGAACUACAUCUUCACAGAAGGCAAACAUCUUCCACCAAACUUCAUUGAGAAUUUGUACCUUUACAAAGACUGGUUUCUCACCAAGAUGUGGCAGAUGGUGUACUCUUUCUGGCAAGUGGUGCUUCAGCUUUUAUCACAACAAACACACUGGCAGUAGAGGGUGGAAGUGGAUGGUAGUUGGAUCACAAAUUAUGUUUCCAUGGCAACAGUGAACAAGUCAAUUAGCAAGUUGUGAUCCACUAGACUCUGGUGUCCAAUUAGUAUCUGAUGGGCACUUGUGCAAAUCCCAAUUAAGUAUGAAGUUUUUAUGGCUCAUUUGUUCUUUAGAUUCUAAUUAUUACUAACAGUUAAU